RNAcentral lists this ribosomal RNA (253 nucleotides) under uncultured bacterium. RNAcentral's name for it is "partial 16S ribosomal RNA". It matches the Rfam family "Bacterial small subunit ribosomal RNA", at positions 524 to 776 of the family's 1533-position model. The record is from RNAcentral. RNAcentral also lists the same sequence under 1 other name.
UACAGAGGGUGCGAGCGUUGUCCGGAAUCACUGGGCGUAAAGGGCGCGUAGGUGGUGACCUAAGCGUGCGGUGAAAGCCCGAGGCUCAACCUCGGGUCGGCCGUGCGAACUGGGUCACUCGAGCAGAAUAGAGGCAGGUGGAAUUCCGGGUGUAGCGGUGGAAUGCGUAGAGAUCCGGAAGAACACCGGUGGCGAAGGCGGCCUGCUGGGUUCUGGCUGACACUGAGGCGCGACAGCGUGGGGAGCAAACAGG